RNAcentral lists this ribosomal RNA (305 nucleotides) under uncultured bacterium. RNAcentral describes it as "bacterial SSU rRNA". It matches the Rfam family "Bacterial small subunit ribosomal RNA", at positions 334 to 635 of the family's 1533-position model. The record is from RNAcentral.
UGGUCCUACGGGACGCAGCAGUGAGGAAUAUUGGUCAAUGGGCGGGAGCCUGAACCAGCCAAGUCGCGUGAGGGAAGACGGUCCUACGGAUUGUAAACCUCUUUUGCCGGGGAGCAACGGGGUCCUUGCGAGGGCCCAAUGAGAGUACCCGGAGAAAAAGCAUCGGCUAACUCCGUGCCAGCAGCCGCGGUAAUACGGAGGAUGCGAGCGUUAUCCGGAUUUACUGGGUGUAAAGGGAGCGUAGACGGCUAAUCAAGUCAGAAGUGAAAACCCAGGGCUCAACCUUGGGAGUGCUUUUGAAACUG